This 275-nucleotide long non-coding RNA is filed under the name Mytilus galloprovincialis (Mediterranean mussel). Lineage: Eukaryota; Metazoa; Mollusca; Bivalvia; Mytilida; Mytilidae. The record is from RNAcentral.
CCGUUUCAUGUGUUUCAUACGGGAUCCAAUGUUGUUUUUUUUUCGCUUGUUUUAAUUCAGCCUAUCCAACCAACGUGUUUAACCAACGUGUUUAACCAACGUGUUUAACCAACGUGUUUAACCAACGUGUUAAACCAACAUGUUUAACCAACGUGUUUAACUAACCAACCAACGUGUUUAACUAACCAAUCAAUCAAUGCAUGUUUCCGUUUCAUGUGUUUCAUACGGGAUCCAAGGUUUUUUUUUUCGCUUGUUUUAAUUGAGCCUAUCCAACC